GGGGGUGUAGCUCAGUGGUUAGAGCAGUCGGCUCAUAACUGAUUGGCCGUUGGUUCAAAUCCAACCACCCCCACCA
RNAcentral lists this transfer RNA (76 nucleotides) under Candidatus Saccharimonadota bacterium. Its description in RNAcentral is "tRNA-Ile". It matches the Rfam family "tRNA". Rfam says of the family: Transfer RNA (tRNA) molecules are approximately 80 nucleotides in length. Their secondary structure includes four short double-helical elements and three loops (D, anti-codon, and T loops). The record is from RNAcentral. Lineage: Bacteria; Candidatus Saccharimonadota.